This 301-nucleotide ribosomal RNA is filed under the name uncultured bacterium. RNAcentral describes it as "partial 16S ribosomal RNA". It matches the Rfam family "Bacterial small subunit ribosomal RNA", at positions 509 to 807 of the family's 1533-position model. The record is from RNAcentral.
CAGCCGCCGCGGUAAUACGUAGGUGGCAAGCGUUGUCCGGAAUUAUUGGGCGUAAAGGGCCCGCAGGCGGUUUCUUAAGUCUGAUGUGAAAGCCCCCGGCUCAACCGGGGAGGGUCAUUGGAAACUGGGAAACUUGAGUGCAGAAGAGGAGAGUGGAACUCCACGUGUAGCGGUGAAAUGCGUAGAGAUCGGAAAGAACACCAACGGCGAAAGCACUCUGCUGGGCCGACACUGACACUGAGAGACGAAAGCUAGGGGAGCAAAUGGGAUUAGAUACCCCAGUAGUCCCUGUCUCUUAUAC